GAAGUUAUAGCUUAGUGGUACAGAAUGUGCUUAGCAUGCACCAGGUCCUAGGUUCAAACCUCAGUACCUUCA
Molecule: transfer RNA, 72 nt
Filed under: Camelus bactrianus (Bactrian camel)
Lineage: Eukaryota; Metazoa; Chordata; Mammalia; Artiodactyla; Camelidae
Also listed under: 3 other names
Rfam family: tRNA
About the family: Transfer RNA (tRNA) molecules are approximately 80 nucleotides in length.
Source: Rfam by way of RNAcentral